This 174-nucleotide ribosomal RNA is filed under the name uncultured bacterium. Its description in RNAcentral is "partial 16S ribosomal RNA". It matches the Rfam family "Bacterial small subunit ribosomal RNA", at positions 1326 to 1500 of the family's 1533-position model. The record is from RNAcentral.
CCGGAAUUGCUAGUAAUGGCAGGUCAGCAUACUGCCGUGAAUACGUUCCCGGGCCUUGUACACACCGCCCGUCACACCAUGAGAGUUGGGAAUACCCGAAGCCUGUGAGCUAACUUUUAGAGGCAGCAGUCGAAGGUAGAAUCAAUGAUUGGGGUGAAGUCGUAACAAGGUAAC